Acinonyx jubatus (cheetah) is the source of this 943-nucleotide long non-coding RNA. RefSeq lists it as uncharacterized. The record is from RefSeq and is a predicted model, not a curated record. The transcript has 3 exons. Lineage: Eukaryota; Metazoa; Chordata; Mammalia; Carnivora; Felidae.
GGGGCUGUCCAGGGGACUGCUACCUGUAGCGGAAAGAGGGGGAUCUUAAAGCUUGGUAUGGGAGGCAAUCCCACCAGGCCGCUCAAGCCCCAAAGCGGGUUGCCAACAGCAGCCCUUCCCGUUUAGUCUCGUCCCACCCACGUAAGAGUGGACCACGCCCCCUUAGCUGUAGCCCCGCCUCUCUAGACUGUUUUGGUUAUGGAGUCAGCCCAGCUCCCCAUCAGGCCGAUUCUGUCUACAUCUGAGAUGGCCCCGCCCUUCAGGAUCCGUUUGAAUGAGGAGCAGCUGGGACCAGCCGGCUGGGUGGGACGACCGCAAUGGCCCAAGCGAAAUCUAGACCUGGAUUUUUCGGCCACGGAGGCCAGGAUUCCAGAUCCGGGUACACUCGGCCUUCGAGGCAUCCUCCAGACACCUGGGAAGUCCCUCCUAUCACCUAACUCCGAUUUUUCCUGCUGCAGUGACGGAUCAGCUUAUCUUGGUCUCCAACCUCAGGGAUGGUAGGUUAGAGGAGUCCAGAAGUAGACCCUGGAUGAGGGUUUGAAUCUUCCCCUUCUUUGUCCAAGCUCCAGGCUAGGAUGUAGCCUGAGUCUGGAGCCACCUAGGCUUUAUCUACACUCCUCCAGAUUAUGUAGCGUGGGUCUGGGCUCCAAGGAGGAUCAGAAGGACCAGACCCCAGGCAGGCCUUGAGAUGAAGCUUUGAUCAGUUUCCUCGCUGGGGUCAGUUUAGGGACAACAUCGAACCCUCGUAUUAACCCUUAGAAACGCAGUAAGAAGCUAGUAGAAAAGAACUCUUCUCAGCUUCAGAAUCCCCACCCAUCUUGAAGGUGGGAGUUCCUGACGCCUGGAUUUCCCCACACUCCACAAUCCUCAGUGUCCCACUCUGUGCAGUGGACUCACUCCCGCGCCUGCGCAGCCUGGAGACCAGUAUCUCCUAAGGCUGUAA